GUCCUCGAUGGCUCAGUUGGAUAGAGCAUCUGCCAUACAAGCAGGAGAUGCCGGGUUCAAGUCCCGGUCAGGGCA
RNAcentral lists this transfer RNA (75 nucleotides) under Schistocerca americana (American grasshopper). RNAcentral describes it as "tRNA-Val". It matches the Rfam family "tRNA". Rfam says of the family: Transfer RNA (tRNA) molecules are approximately 80 nucleotides in length. Their secondary structure includes four short double-helical elements and three loops (D, anti-codon, and T loops). RNAcentral also lists the same sequence under 3 other names. The record is from RNAcentral. Lineage: Eukaryota; Metazoa; Arthropoda; Insecta; Orthoptera; Acrididae.